AAGGUUACUAAGACUGGAUAGGAAACAAAAAGGCAUCUUUUUGUUUUUAAAAGACCUUCUUACGAAGGUAUGCUUAAAGAGGGGCUUGCGCCACAUUAGUUAGUUGGUAGAGUAAAAGCCUACCAAGACGAUGAUGUGUAGCUGGACUGAGAGGUUGAACAGCCACAUUGGGACUGAGACACGGCCCAAACUCCUACGGGAGGCAGCAGUAGGGAAUUUUCGGCAAUGGAGGAAACUCUGACCGAGCAACGCCGCGUGAACGAUGAAGUAUUUCGGUAUGUAAAGUUCUUUUAUUGAAGAAGAAAAAGUAGUGGAAAAACUAUAUUGACGUUAUUCAAUGAAUAAGCCCCGGCUAACUAUGUGCCAGCAGCCGCGGUAAGACAUAGGGGGCGAGCGUUAUCCGGAAUUAUUGGGCGUAAAGGGUGCGUAGGCUGUUAGAUAAGUCUAUAAUUUAAUUUCAGUGCUUAACGCUGUCUUGUUAUAGAAACUGUCUUGACUAGAGUGAGAUAGAGGCAAGCGGAAUUCCAUGUGUAGCGGUAAAAUGUGUAAAUAUAUGGAGGAACACCAGAAGCGUAGGCGGCUUGCUGGGUCUUUACUGACGCUGAGGCACGAAAGCGUGGGUAGCAAACAGGAUUAGAUACCCUGGUAGUCCACGCCGUAAACGAUGAGUACUAAGUGUCGGGGUAAAACUCGGUACUGAAGUUAACACAUUAAGUACUCCGCCUGAGUAGUACGUACGCAAGUAUGAAACUUAAAGGAAUUGACGGGACUCCGCACAAGCGGUGGAUCAUGUUGUUUAAUUCGAAGAUACACGAAAAAUCUUACCAGGUCUUGACAUACUCUGCAAAGCUAUAGAAAUAUAGUGGAGGUUAUCAGGGAUACAGGUGGUGCAUGGUUGUCGUCAGUUCGUGUCGUGAGAUGUUAGGUUAAGUCCUAAAACGAACGCAACCCUUGUCGUUAAUUGCCAGCACAUAAUGGUGGGGACUUUAACGAGACUGCCAAUUAAACAUUGGAGGAAGGUGAGGAUUACGUCAAAUCAUCAUGCCCCUUAUGAUCUGGGCUACAAACGUGAUACAAUGGCUGUGACAAAGAGUAGCUGAAACGCGAGUUUUUAGCCAAUCUCAAAAAAGCAGUCUCAGUUCGGAUUGAAGUCUGUAACUCGACUUCAUGAAGUUGGAAUCGCUAGUAAUCGCGAAUCAGCAUGUCGCGGUGAAUACGUUCUCGGGGUUUGUACACACCGCCCGUCAA
RNAcentral lists this ribosomal RNA (1248 nucleotides) under Periwinkle little leaf phytoplasma. RNAcentral's name for it is "bacterial SSU rRNA". It matches the Rfam family "Bacterial small subunit ribosomal RNA", at positions 156 to 1400 of the family's 1533-position model. Lineage: Bacteria; Bacillati; Mycoplasmatota; Mollicutes; Acholeplasmatales; Acholeplasmataceae. The record is from RNAcentral.